ACGUGCCCAGUAAUGGGGGAUAGCCCGGCGAAAGCCGGAUUAAUACCGCAUACGACCUACGGGUGAAAGCGGGGGAUCGCAAGACCUCGCGUUAUUGGAGCGGCCGAUAUCAGAUUAGCUUGCUGGUGGGGUAAAAGCCCACCAAGGCGACGAUCUGUAGCUGGUCUGAGAGGACGACCAGCCACACUGGGACUGAGACACGGCCCAGACUCCUACGGGAGGCAGCAGUGGGGAAUUUUGGACAAUGGGCGCAAGCCUGAUCCAGCCAUGCCGCGUGUGGGAAGAAGGCCUUCGGGUUGUAAACCACUUUUGUCAGGGAAGAAACGGCUCUUACUAAUAUUAGGAGCUAAUGACGGUACCUGAAGAAUAAGCACCGGCUAACUACGUGCCAGCAGCCGCGGUAAUACGUAGGGUGCAAGAGUUAAUCGGAAUUACUGGGCGUAAAGCGUGCGCAGGCGGCUUUGCAAGACAGAUGUGAAAUCCCCGGGCUCAACCUGGGAACUGCAUUUGUGACUGCAUGGCUAGAGUACGGUAGAGGGGGAUGGAAUUCCGCGUGUAGCAGUGAAAUGCGUAGAUAUGCGGAGGAACACCGAUGGCGAAGGCAAUCCCCUGGACCUGUACUGACGCUCAUGCACGAAAGCGUGGGGAGCAAACAGGAUUAGAUACCCCUGGUAGAAUCACUAGUGAA
This 688-nucleotide ribosomal RNA is filed under the name uncultured bacterium. RNAcentral's name for it is "bacterial SSU rRNA". It matches the Rfam family "Bacterial small subunit ribosomal RNA", at positions 124 to 806 of the family's 1533-position model. The record is from RNAcentral.